RNAcentral lists this non-coding RNA (24 nucleotides) under Arabidopsis thaliana (thale cress). Lineage: Eukaryota; Viridiplantae; Streptophyta; Magnoliopsida; Brassicales; Brassicaceae. The record is from RNAcentral.
UCCCCUCUUCAGUUGUGCCUCGAC